AGCAGCCGCGGUAAUUCCAGCUCCAAUAGCGUAUAUUAAAGUUGUUGCAGUUAAAAAGCUACGUAGUUGAAUUUCGGGGUCAGUAGGUCGGUCAUGCCACUGGUAUGUACUGGUCUCACUGAUUCCUCCUUCCUGAUGAACCGUAAUGCCAUUAAUUUGGUGUUGCGGGGAGACUGGACUGUUAACUUUGAAAAAAUUGAGUGUUUAAAGCAGGCUAACGCUUGAAUACAUUAGCAUGGAAUAACGGAAUAGGACGUUCGAUCUUAUUUUGUUGGUUUCUAAGAUUGACGUAAUGAUUAAUAGGGAUAGUUGGGGGCAUUAGUAUUCAAUUGUCAGAGGUGAAAUUCUUGGAUUUUAUUGAAA
This 363-nucleotide small RNA is filed under the name uncultured Entrophospora. RNAcentral describes it as "SSU rRNA". It matches the Rfam family "Eukaryotic small subunit ribosomal RNA", at positions 569 to 934 of the family's 1831-position model. Lineage: Eukaryota; Fungi; Glomeromycota; Glomeromycetes; Entrophosporales; Entrophosporaceae. The record is from RNAcentral.